CAGUAGCCGCGGUAAUACGUAGGGUGCAAGCGUUAAUCGGAAUUAUUGGGCGUAAAGCGAGUGCAGACGGUUACUUAAGCCAGAUGUGAAAUCCCCAAGCUUAACUUGGGACGUGCAUUUGAAACUGGGUGACUAGAGUGUGUCAGAGGGAGGUAGAAUUCCACAUGUAGCGGUGGAAUGCGUAGAGAUGUGGAGGUAUACCGAUGGCGAAGGCAGCCUCCUGGGAUAACACUGACGUUGAGGCUCGAAAGCGUGGGGAGCAAACAGGAUUAGAUACCCCCGUAGUCCCUGUCUCUUAUAC
RNAcentral lists this ribosomal RNA (301 nucleotides) under uncultured bacterium. RNAcentral describes it as "partial 16S ribosomal RNA". It matches the Rfam family "Bacterial small subunit ribosomal RNA", at positions 509 to 807 of the family's 1533-position model. The record is from RNAcentral.